CAGAGAGUAGUUUAGUUUAGAAUUCUGGCUUUGGGAGCCAGGGGUGGGAGUUAGAAUCUCCUUUCUCUGA
This 70-nucleotide transfer RNA is filed under the name Pungitius platygaster (Ukranian stickleback). RNAcentral's name for it is "tRNA-Pro". It matches the Rfam family "tRNA". Rfam says of the family: Transfer RNA (tRNA) molecules are approximately 80 nucleotides in length. Lineage: Eukaryota; Metazoa; Chordata; Actinopteri; Perciformes; Gasterosteidae. The record is from RNAcentral.